Long non-coding RNA from Planococcus citri (citrus mealybug), 599 nucleotides. RefSeq lists it as uncharacterized. The transcript is spliced from 3 exons. The record is from RefSeq and is a predicted model, not a curated record. Lineage: Eukaryota; Metazoa; Arthropoda; Insecta; Hemiptera; Pseudococcidae.
CAUCUGAACAAUAUAGAGCGGAAAGUAGAUUACAUAUAUAAAAGGGUUUGUUGCAUAUCUCACGUAGUAAAUGAUUACGAAGAAUCCGAAGUUUAUAAAAAUGGCAUUAAUGAAGAUAAAGGAGUCGAAAAGGAAACAGAAGAUAAUCCCGUUCAAGACGAUAACGAAAACCAAAUAAACCUAGAAAGUUAAAAUUUUGAUGAUACAGAUUCGACGACGACGUUAUCAAUGAUCAAUUGUUCAAUAUAUCAUUCAUGUCUCGUUUUUCUAACUUAGAACACAUUUUUUUUCUUUUUUAUUUAUUAGAAGAUUUGUAUACCUAAGUGAUAAGACUGAUUAUUGUGAUGUGAGCUUAGAUGAUUAUUUUUAUUAUUUUUAAGGGGGGGGGGGUUGUCAUUUUGUGCUAACUAAUUCUACGUAUGUGAGCUUAUUUUAUUUAUUUAAAUAUUAUUAUCGAUGUAGAAUAAACUUGAAUUUGAAGAAUCGCGAAUAAUGUAGAUUAAGAUUCGAGAUCUUUGUGUAAUUUCUCAGCUUCACAUACGUACACAUUUCAUCAUCAUUAUUUUAUUUUACUGUGUAUAUUAAAAAUUGUAAAUAUA